AAAUGAAUAGACGGGGGCCCGCACAAGCGGUGGAGUAUGUGGUUUAAUUCGACGCAACGCGAAGAACCUUACCCAGACUUGACAUGUAGAGAACCUGGUGGAAACACUGGGGUGCCUAGUUUACUAGGAGCUCUAACACAGGUGCUGCAUGGCUGUCGUCAGCUCGUGUCGUGAGAUGUUGGGUUAAGUCCCGCAACGAGCGCAACCCUUGCCGAUAGUUGCCAUCAUUAAGUUGGGCACUCUAUAGGGACUGCCGGUGUUAAACCGGAGGAAGGUGGGGAUGACGUCAAGUCCUCAUGGCCCUUAUGUCUGGGGCUACACACGUACUACAAUGGCUGGUACAAAGGGCUGCAAGCCGGCGACGGUUAGCCAAUCCCAAAAAGCCAGCCCCAGUUCAGAUUGGAGUCUGCAACUCGACUCCAUGAAGGCGGAAUCGCUAGUAAUCGCUAAUCAGCAGGUAGCGGUGAAUACGUUCCCGGGCCUUGUACACACCGCCCGU
This 499-nucleotide ribosomal RNA is filed under the name uncultured bacterium. Its description in RNAcentral is "bacterial SSU rRNA". It matches the Rfam family "Bacterial small subunit ribosomal RNA", at positions 903 to 1397 of the family's 1533-position model. The record is from RNAcentral.